GAAAGGCCAAUCAAACUCGGAGAUAGCUGGUUCUCCCCGAAAGCUAUUUAGGUAGCGCCUCGGACGAAUACUACUGGGGGUAGAGCACUGUUAAGGCUAGGGGGUCAUCCCGACUUACCAACCCUUUGCAAACUCCGAAUACCAGUAAGUACUAUCCGGGAGACACACGGCGGGUGCUAACGUCCGUCGUGAAGAGGGAAACAACCCAGACCGCCAGCUAAGGUCCCAAAGUUAUAGCUAAGUGGGAAACGAUGUGGGAAGGCUCAGACAGCCAGGAUGUUGGCUUAGAAGCAGCCAUCAUUUAAAGAAAGCGUAAUAGCUCACUGGUCGAGUCGGCCUGCGCGGAAGAUUUAACGGGGCUAAGCUAUACACCGAAGCUGCGGCAAUGAAGUUUUACUUCAUUGGGUAGGGGAGCGUUCUGUAAGCCGUUGAAGGUGAAUCGUAAGGUUUGCUGGAGGUAUCAGAAGUGCGAAUGCUGACAUGAGUAACGAUAAAGGGAGUGAAAAACUCCCUCGCCGGAAGAUCAAGGGUUCCUGUCCAACGUUAAUCGGGGCAGGGUAAGUCGACCCCUAAGGCGAGGCCGAAAGGCGUAGUCGAUGGGAAACGGGUUAAUAUUCCCGUACUUCUUAUAAUUGCGAUGGAGGGACGGAGAAGGCUAGGUGAGCCUGGCGACGGUUGUCCAGGUCCAAGUAUGUAGGCUGAUGGUUUAGGCAAAUCCGGACCAUCUUAAGGCUGAGAUACGAUGUCGAGU
This 751-nucleotide ribosomal RNA is filed under the name Photobacterium angustum. RNAcentral's name for it is "bacterial LSU rRNA". It matches the Rfam family "Bacterial large subunit ribosomal RNA", at positions 823 to 1574 of the family's 2925-position model. The record is from RNAcentral. Lineage: Bacteria; Pseudomonadati; Pseudomonadota; Gammaproteobacteria; Vibrionales; Vibrionaceae.